AUACUUACCUGGCAGGGGAGAUACCAUGAUCACGAAGGUGGUUUUCCCAGGGCGAGGCUUAUCCAUUGCACUCCGGAUGUGCUGACCCCUGCGAUUUCCCCAAAUGUGGGAAACUCGACUGCAUAAUUUGUGGCAGUGGGGGACUGCGUUCGCGCUUUCCCCUG
Molecule: small nuclear RNA, 164 nt
Filed under: Mandrillus leucophaeus (drill)
Lineage: Eukaryota; Metazoa; Chordata; Mammalia; Primates; Cercopithecidae
Also listed under: 1 other name
Description: U1 spliceosomal RNA (ENSMLEG00000010372.1)
Rfam family: U1 spliceosomal RNA
About the family: U1 is a small nuclear RNA (snRNA) component of the spliceosome (involved in pre-mRNA splicing). Its 5' end forms complementary base pairs with the 5' splice junction, thus defining the 5' donor site of an intron. There are significant differences in sequence and secondary structure between metazoan and yeast U1 snRNAs, the latter being much longer (568 nucleotides as compared to 164 nucleotides in human).
Source: Rfam by way of RNAcentral